CCUACGGGAGGCAGCAGUGAGGAAUAUUGGUCAAUGGACGAGAGUCUGAACCAGCCAAGUAGCGUGAAGGAUGACUGCCCUAUGGGUUGUAAACUUCUUUUAUAUGGGAAUAAAAUGUUCCACGUGUGGGCUUUUGUAUGUACCAUAUGAAUAAGGAUCGGCUAACUCCGUGCCAGCAGCCGCGGUAAUACGGAGGAUCCGAGCGUUAUCCGGAUUUAUUGGGUUUAAAGGGAGCGUAGGUGGAUUGUUAAGUCAGUUGUGAAAGUUUGCGGCUCAACCGUAAAAGUGCAGUUGAAACUGGCAGUCUUGAGUACAGUAGAGGUGGGCGGAAUUCGUGGUGUAGCGGUGAAAUGCUUAGAUAUCACGAAGAACUCCGAUUGCGAAGGCAGCUCACUGGACUGCAACUGACACUGAGGCUCGAAAGUGUGGGUAUCAAACAGGAAUAGGUACCCCGGUAGUC
This 460-nucleotide ribosomal RNA is filed under the name uncultured bacterium. RNAcentral's name for it is "partial 16S ribosomal RNA". It matches the Rfam family "Bacterial small subunit ribosomal RNA", at positions 338 to 795 of the family's 1533-position model. The record is from RNAcentral.